Molecule: long non-coding RNA, 253 nt
Filed under: Elaeis guineensis (African oil palm)
Lineage: Eukaryota; Viridiplantae; Streptophyta; Magnoliopsida; Arecales; Arecaceae
Description: long non-coding RNA (EGUI_LNC042862)
Source: RNAcentral
UGGGGUUCAGCAUAAUCUUAGACAUAAUGCAGCUAGAAUGAUGAAUCAAUAUCUCAUUUUAUUGUCAAAUAAUAAAUGUCAUUACAUGAGUUGAAAAAUUAUAAAGAAAAGUUUCAUCGCAACACACUUACGUUUGGCUUAUAGGGCACUCUUCUUUCAAUCUUCCACUGCACUAAAUCCAAUUAUCUUUGUAUCUCAAUCUCAUACAAUCAAGAUGGCGAUCAAAUAGCUGUUGUGGUAUGGCCUUAGUGAA